This is a non-coding RNA of Desulfatitalea sp. BRH_c12, 108 nucleotides long. NCBI's taxonomy places the organism in Bacteria, Pseudomonadati, Thermodesulfobacteriota, Desulfobacteria, Desulfobacterales, Desulfosarcinaceae. The record is from Rfam.
AAUAAUCAUGAAGAAGCCCUUCGGGGCUGGCAACCUGCUCUCCCUGCAAGGUGCCAAUUUCAGCUACGCUGAAACAUGAGGUCGGUAACGACAACAGGGACUCACUCG